UGGGGGAUAUUGCACAAUGGGCGAAAGCCUGAUGCAGCGACGCCGCGUGGGGGAUGACGGCCUUCGGGUUGUAAACUUCUUUUGCUCUGAACAAGGCAUGCUAAUGGGUGUGUUGAUUGUAGGGGUUGAUUAGCGCCGGCUAACUACGUGCCAGCAGCCGCGGUAAUACGUAGGGCGCGAGCGUUGUCCGGAAUUAUUGGGCGUAAAGGGCUUGUAGGUGGCUGGUUGCGUCUGUCGUGAAAGCUCAUGGCUUAACUGUGGGUUUGCGGUGGAUACGGCAUGGCUUGAGGGAAGUAGGGGAGGAUGGAAUUAGUGGUGUAGCGGUGGAAUGCGCAGAUAUCAGGAGGAAUACCGGUGGCGAAGGCGGGUCUCUGGGCUGUUACUGACACUGAGGAGCGAAAGCAUGGGGAGCGAACAGG
This 419-nucleotide ribosomal RNA is filed under the name bacterium. Its description in RNAcentral is "partial 16S ribosomal RNA". It matches the Rfam family "Bacterial small subunit ribosomal RNA", at positions 355 to 776 of the family's 1533-position model. The record is from RNAcentral.